Molecule: long non-coding RNA, 7117 nt
Organism: Ictalurus furcatus (blue catfish)
Lineage: Eukaryota; Metazoa; Chordata; Actinopteri; Siluriformes; Ictaluridae
Exons: 2
Source: RefSeq, a predicted model, not a curated record
UUCUGCUGUGACGUGAGCUCUGUUUCCUCCACAGGCUGUUUUCCUCAGGAUGGACUCUUGCAUGCUGGUGUGUGCUGCCAGCCGGCAAUGACAAAAACAUCCUCCCAGUCUGCUACCUGCCCCUGUGGCCUUGUUCCUCUCCAUACACAUUCUCUUGUUUGCAGGAAGGCCAGGUUUCCUGUGUGACAGGGAUUGCGGGGGCUGUAGUCCAUUUUCUGUCUUAUACACUUAGUUCUGCAUCUUUUGUUCUCCACUUCAAUGCUUAUAUACACAGGUGGUUUUUGAUCAUCAAAUUCAGCCGCAUAUGGGUGUACACUGCGUUUAUUCAGCAUGGCUGUGUCUUAUGAACCUUUGCCUGCACUUGAUGCUUUAAUGGCAUUGUCAUCAGGCAAUUUGACCAAAGCAGUCCUGAGAUUGUGGUCCUAGCGUUCCCAGGCUCAGUUACAGUUCUAGCUAUUUCCAGCUAACCAGCUGUGAUGGAAGCAUGCCAGCAGGACUCUUCGGUUUAGCCAAGACAGGGUCUUCAGUUUUAUUUGUUCCUCAACUCUGACAUCCAUCAUUCAACACUGGGUGUGUACACACUCUCUUGCAUUUGGUGAAAAUAUUUACAUUUCUAAAUGUAAAUCUAAAAGCAUGCAUAAAAUUGGUUUUCAUAUUUUGAGUUAUUGUAUCUUUCUCUUCCGUUAUAUUAUCACUAAGAGUUGAAAUAAAUCAAGCAUCUAAGCCCAUAUGCAAUUCUUUCUGAUCUCAUUUCUCCUAUGUGUCUGAGAACAGAUGCCCAGGGGCCAUACACAAAGACAUUGCUGAUCAUUCUGUCAACAUGUUUGAGGCUUUAACAUGGUCCACACAGACAGUCAGCAGUGGCAAGGGGCCAUAUGAUGGGCUCAGACAGGGCUGAAGCUGUUGAGUAAUAUUUGCACACUCUCCAGCACAUGGUUUGCCAGAGAUGGUCAACCUUAGCUUGUGGAUCAGGUAUCCUCUACCUCGGCAACAAGUCUCUUGGCACUUUUACACAGGCAGAAAAUAGAGAAGCCAGCACGGGGGGCAAUUUCCUGUCUUUCCUCCUCCAUGUUGGCAUCAAAAAUAGAUUUUUUUUGUGAGUAGGCAUUAAACAAGCAUAGUAUUAAAAGAAAAUACUGAAGAUGUACCACAAAAUGUGGUGGAAGAGCAUUACUGAAUACUUACCACAUAAAUCUUCUGAAAAGUUGAAACGAGUAGAUCAGAUAAAAAUGUGAUCUUAUUCGGGAAACCCUUCGAAGGUUCCUCCAUUUUUAGUGGACAAGGCGUUGACAAUCUUGGGUGUUAAAUGAGACAACAAAUGCAAAUUAAAGAGAUUGCGGCCACUGAAACUCUACAUAGCACCUGGUUAUGACAGUUAAAUAUUUUUUCCCCUCUUGAAUCUGUGUGGUUGUAACACCUUUGAGAGUUACUAAUACUGCGUUUUAGUGUUUAAGUUCUUGACUAAUAUUUGAAUCUGGUUGUAUGAAAUCAUUAUAAUGAUGUUUGAUCUUGCAUGUGAGACCUUUAAAAAAACAUGCUAAUGAGUCUGUAGACAAAGUCACCAGUAGUAUACCUGACUGGCUCAGUGUGUUUUGGAUUGAAUGUGCGCAACUGGAGGAGGGUGCUACCCAGUGUGCCAGUUGGGGUUUCCCUGAGCAGCCAAUGGCCUGUCUAUGGGGUUACAGCAUGUGCUGGACAGACUUAAUGAUUAACACUUGAUCCUUCCUGCUUGACUAUCAAACCUCAUUUUUACAUUUCAGCUUAUUAACAUUUGUCAUCUCAUUUAUCAUGGAUGAAAACUGCAGGUUGUGAGGGGUGGUGAAAAGGAGAUGGGGACCUAAAGUUGAAUCAGCUCUGUCACUGCCGAUGUGAAUGAGAUGUCUCCCGGGCUUGCCUGGUCUUUUUAAUGACCAUGUUAACUCAUCCCAUAUGUAAACACAGCAGAGAAAAGGAAACACAUUAAAUUCCUCAGCUGUUCAGCGUUCAUAGGGUCACAGAGAACAGGGCAAGUGCCGUACCGGCCGUUACUGACACGCCUUUACACCUCCAGUUAUUUUGAUUACCAAUUACUGCAGAAUAUUUCACUGAAAGUUCACAAUAAAACAAAUUAAAAGCAAUAGUAUACCUAAAAAUAAAUAAAUGAAUGAAUUUAUUUUUUAAGCUCAUAUUCUGUGGCAUAAAACAUCCACACUUCUACUCUUACACUGCUGUAAGAAAUCCAAGAUAGUGGUUGCUCAAUUUUAUAGUGUAGGUGAGCACUUUUCACAAACUCAGUUAAUCAUCUAAGAUUGUACAUGUUGUGCAUUCUGAGAUGCUUUUCUACUCACCACAGUUGUAAAGAGUGGUUAUUUGAGUUACCGUAGCGUUCCUAUCAGCUCAAACCAGUCAUCAAAAAGGUUUUUCCACCCACACCACACAUUGGCUGUGUUUUUUUUGUUAUUUUUUUUUUUAUUUUUUUUUUUUCCAGUAUUCUGUGUUUCUAAAUUACUUAAACCAGCCAGGCUGGCAUCAACAACCAUGCUGCAGUCAAAGCUUAUCACAGUUUGGAAAUUCUCAAAGUCACUCAGAUCCUUUGUCUGGCCCAUUUUAUUGUAACACCGACUACGUGCCAGGACUUCCUGCCCAAAAUUACUAAUGCCCUUGUGGUUAAAAAGCUACGCUGAGGACUAAUUCUGGAUUUUUAAAAAUGCACAUAUGGGUGCAUUACCCAUGUAUUUAUAUAUGUAUAUAUCUCAUGGAUAUCAAACAACUGCAAACACAACACAGGUUUAUCAAAAAAUAUCUUUGUUAAAUAUAGGUGUGCAACAAUUAUUGGCACCCCAAUGAAUUCAUAUGAGACAAAAUAUAUUUGAAGUAUAUUCACAUUGAUAUUUAACAUUUUUUAGUAUACCUGGGUGACUAGGAACAGGAAAUUGUUCAACCAUGACUUCCUGUUUCACAAGGGUAUAAAAAUGAGGUAACACAGGCCAAAUUCCCGUAGUCAUUUAUAACAAUGGGUAAGAUCGAGGAAUAUAGCUGUGAUGUGCGGCAAAAGGUUGUUGAACUUCACAAAAUUGAAAGUGGCUAUAAGAAAAUAGCACAAGCAUUGAAAGUGCCCAUUUCCACCAUCAGGGCAAUAAUUAAGAAGUUCCAGUCAACUGGAAAUGUUAUGAAUCAUCCUGUAAUUGGACAUGUGUCUAUAUUGUUUCAAUGCACUGUGAAGAGGAUGGGUUGAGUGGCCAAAAAGUCUCCAAGGAUCAAAGCUGGGGAAUUGCAGAAGUUAGUUGCAUCUUGUGUCAGAAAUUCUCCCAAACUACAAUCCGAAGUCACCUACAUCACCACAAGUUGUUUGGAAAGGUUUCAAGAAAAAAGCCUCUACUCUCAUCUAAAAACAAACUCAGGCAUCUUCAGUUUGCCAGACACUACUGGAACCUCAAAUGGGAUCGGGUUCUAUGGUCAGAUGAAAUCAAAAUAGAGAUUUUUGGCAAUAAACACCAGAGGUAGUUUUGGCGCACACAGAGAGGUAGCUAUAUGGAAAAGUACCUCAUGCCCACGGUUAAAUAUGGUGGUGGCUCUUUAAUGUAUUGGGGCUGUUUUUCUGCCAGAGGAUCUGGGCAUUUUGUUAGGAUACAUGGCAUCAUGGACUCUAUCACAUAUCAGCAGAUAUUAAAUGAAAACCUGACUGCUUCUGCCAGAAAGCUUAAAAUGGGCCGUGGUUGGAUCUUCCAGCAGGACAAUGAUCCAAAACAUACAUCAAAAUAAACACAAAAAUGUUUUACUGACCACAAAAUCAAGAUCCUGCCAUGACCAUCCCAGUCCCCUGACUCGAACCCCAUAGAAAACCUGUGGAGUGAACUGAAGAGGAGAGUCCACCAGUGUGGACCUCGAAAUUUGAAGGAUCUGGAGAGAUUCUGUAUGGAGGAACAGUCUCAGAUCCCUUGCCAUGUAUUCACCAACCUCCUCAGGCAUUAUCGGAGAAGACUUAAAGGGACGUAGCACAAAGUAUUGACUAAAAGGGUGCCAGUAAUUGUUGCACACCUAUAUUUAACAAAGAUAUUUUUUUGGAUAAACCCGUGUUGUGUUUGCAAUUGUUUAAUAUCCAUGAGAGCAGAGUAUUUUUGUGAAUUUUUAGAACAAAACAUCAAAAGCUUAAACAAUAAAGACAAUUUUUCAUAGCCUGUAUAUAUAUAUAGCUUGUGUCUUUCUUUUGCCUCCUUAGGACAAUUCCAGUGUGGACUUAUGUGGAUCUGCACUCUUUUUUGUUAAUCAUAAUGUUCCUCAGGUAAUGCACACUUGCUAUUUAUAGUCACAUGGAUGUUGGUUGAUCAUUUUACUCAAAAACACAUUUUCUUGCAAGGGUAAUGUAGUAAAAGAAUUCAAAUGUGUUUUGUUAUUAUCAUCCUUCCCAUAAUUCAAUUAAAACACCUCUCUGUUUUUUAUGUGAAUUUGCUGAUUCAAAAUCAGAAUCCAGUUUUUUCAGAGCAAGUGCUUAGCCAUGUGAGCCAUAGUACCAGGAAAAGCAGAAACAUAUAGAGUAGAAGAAGCCUCGCUUGGAUUCGUUCUCAGAGGACAGUCACCCCCUUAUUUAGACUGUUCAGAUGUUCAUUGGCAGAGUCUAUGCCAACUCAGCCUGAUCUCAUUUCUGAGUCCUAAGCCUGGGUGGCUUAGACCUGAACAUCAAAAGUACAUAAACAGUUCACAUUUGAUGAUCUCUAGAAGCUCCGAUUCACUUUUGGCACUUUUGAGUUUUUCUUUUUAUUAUUAGUAUUUAUUUAUUUUUUUUCCAUUUCAUGGAAUUUAAUGAAUUAAAAUACGGAAUUGAGUUAUUUAUUUAAAUAACCUCACGGGCAAAUUUAGUAUGCGUAUUAAAUGUAUAGACGAUGGUGGAUAUACUUGCACUUCUCACUGUCUAUACAGCUCUGACGUACUGUAUAGGGUACCCUCUUGAUGUUUCCAAAAAAGGUGUCAGUGGUUGAGGGGGAUAUCUCGUUCUUGUCCCUUAUUCAGAAUGCAGUGGGGCACCAGACGAGCAGGGCUGAGGUAGUGGUACACAGCUCUCAGCACCACUGGCUCUAUUUUGCAUGCUCAGAAUAAGCCCAAUAGCAUCCAAUUACACAGCUCUCAUGGAUUGUUUGGUGUCAACUGUUGGAGGGAUAUGAUGAUUCUGCUCUUCUAGUGUAAAAAGAUAUAUCGAGGUUCCUGUCCACUUUUUUGUGAGCAUAUUUUGUCCGUAUGCUCACUUGGUGAUGACAGUAACUGAAACAGAAUUAAAAUAGUGAGGCUUUCCCCUUUAAGGUAGUAGUGUAAUUGUGCUUUCAAGGCUCCUAGUUUGCAGAUGAGAUCCUGACAUGACCCUGUGUCACUUAUGUUGCAAAUCCUUCUGGGAUUGGUGCACUUAGUUACUGGUUUUUGCUGUAUGUCAUUGAUGAGUUUCAAUUAAAGCAAAGGAAGGAUAAUGCACAUGGUGGGAAACUGUGACAUGUAAAAACAAUCCAUGGGAGCAGUGUAAUUGUAUACGUUAUGGUAGUGAAAAUAGCAUGUGUAGGUUAGUGGAGAAGGCAGUAGUAUCUGAAUCGUCACAUUAAAGAUUUGGCUCUGGUUUCAUUCUCUUAAAGAGCCUUGUGAGGGAAGUAGGUAAUGGAGGGACUAAUAUAAAUGUGUGUGUGUGUGUGUGUGUGUGUGUUUGGGGUUUUAUUGGGACACAUUCUAACCUCUAGGGUUUAAUAUGCAUACAUCGGUAGGCCGUGCGUAGGUGUCCAUAUCAGGUGUUAAAAGGUCACAAGUGAGGAAGAAUGAAAUGGGUUGUGGGAUACUUUUUUUUAAAGACAAUUUUAAGAUGGAAUGAAAAUCUGAAUUAAACAAUAACAGAGCUUUCUACAACAGCAAGACAACAUCUUUACCUUCGCCAAGGUAGUCAAAAUGUGGAAAAUGGUCGGUUUAACAUCACAUUGGUUAACCUCAUAGGAAAUAAUAAUAGUUAGCAAUUUAUUAUGAUAACUUUUAUUCUAAUGUGCAUAUGUUUUUGAAGCAUGUGGUCUAGCUUCGCAGGCAAUAUUUAUGAAAAUUAUGAAAUAAUAAUUCAUGGAAUAGUCAUCAUUAGUCAAGACAUUCACUGUUUGGACGAAUCUACCUCUUGAUUAAUCUCUAUCUCAAUCACUCUCUCUCUUGCUCUCUCUUCCUUUUAGGGAAAAUUUGCCAACUGUUUUUUGCCCACUCUUCAGUAUAUGCAGUGCUGCCAAGUCAAGUGGAAAAAGUGUCAAAUGUCUGUCCAUUCAUCUUCUUCAGGGGUCCUCUGUGAAACCAGACAGGAGCAAACCAAGGAAACAUGAGCCCCCUCUUCCCUCUCACCAUGUGCCUGAAUGAGAUACCAUAUGCAUCUUUUUUCAUUUUAUAUCUGUGAGCAAGAAUGAGUAGGGUGUGUCUCUGUCUCUGAAUGUGUGUGUGUGAGCAAACAUGCGCUGUCCACUGGGAACAACAUCCUGGUGCUGAUGAGUGUGACAAGGAAACUCCAGCAUCAGUGAUUUUGUUGCCAGAGGAGCGUCCCAACCAUUAUGACCAUCCUCUCGGUACGACUCAGUGCUGAUGAACUUUCUGCAUACAUAAAUAAGACAAUUUUGUCCACAUUAUCCACACAGAGAUUGUCAGCAGACAAGUAGAGACAAGCUUCUCUACUCACUCCCAGUUUCUGAUUUAUUGGACUGUACAAAUGGAGUUAAUCGUCAUCCUUUCAUAUGACCACUAGUGGGCAUUAUAUACGGCUUACACUGUACUCUCAGUGAUGGACUCAAGAGGGCAUGGAAGCUCUCUACUAACCUGUGUUUUAGCACCCUUAAUAAUGUCUACUCCUUACAGUCUGAUGAGAUUCACCAAUCCUGUGGACAAAUGCCCAUUGAGGUAUUCUAAUUUCCAGUCCUGCAAAUUUCCAGCAUAGUGGCUGCAUUUCAUAGGUUGCGUCUGUCCUUGAUCAGCAUUUUCCCAGCAUGUACUGGUGUUAAAUUUUAUCAUCUCUUUUGUUUUUUUCCCCUCUAGUAUUCUGUUUUGGCUCAGUUUUUGAGCAAUCAUACUUCAUCAUUGUGAACCGAAAUUCCAUUUACCCUAGAAACUUUAUAUUUGAAAUAAAAUGAUGACAUUGCAAAUA